Molecule: long non-coding RNA, 319 nt
Organism: Sinocyclocheilus anshuiensis
Lineage: Eukaryota; Metazoa; Chordata; Actinopteri; Cypriniformes; Cyprinidae
Exons: 2
Source: RefSeq, a predicted model, not a curated record
CGCUUCAACUUCAAAUAGGUGUCAAAACAGUGCCAGUCACCAUCUCACACCUACAAGAUUUGUAGUGACAGACUUGGACAUUUUCAGUUCUUUCCACAGUUGAAACAUUUACUUUCAGUCUGCACUGAGGAUAUAUAGGAAGAGGUAACCGCAGAUUUCACUUUUGCGCUCAGAUUGUUCUUCCCGUCGCUCUCAGCAUGGCUUCAACAACCUGCACCAGGUUUACCGACGAAUAUCAGCUGUAUGAAGAACUGGGAAAAGGAGCCUUUUCUGUGGUGAGAAGAUGUUUGAAAAUCUCUACUGGUCAGGAAUAUGCUGC